Molecule: long non-coding RNA, 469 nt
Organism: Bactrocera oleae (olive fruit fly)
Lineage: Eukaryota; Metazoa; Arthropoda; Insecta; Diptera; Tephritidae
Source: RefSeq, a predicted model, not a curated record
UGUUAUUAUAAUAUAUAUUGUCUAUAAUACUUAUAGUUUAUUUAUAAUAUAUUAAGUUACUUAGUUAGUAAGACAAGUGGGCUCUCUAACACAAGAUAAAACUUAACUUCGUAAAAGAGCUUACAUCAGAUAUAUAUAGAAAGAAAAUCUCAACCAGACGUCUAGCUUGAGUCGGCUUGAGCUAUGUAGAGCAACAAUGGUGGAGUGGGACAGGAAGACCUCAUUAAACAGAAUGCCAUAGAAAUGUAGCUCAGUGGCUUUCAGUCGAGAUUGUAGCGGACAAAGAUUGAUAUAACAAUGAAUUAUCCGGCGAUCCGGCAGGCUUAGAACUUGAAUGGAAUCUGAGUGUCUAAUCGUUAAAAACCCAGACUACUCUAACUAAUUGCUAGAAAUCUUCAGUGUAUUAAUUUCCAAGGGUGCCACGUUUGCUCACUUCGUGCAAUAAACGCAAAUGUGAUACCACUUCAAA